UAGUGACUUACAUGAAAAACAAAUUACAGCAUAUUCUUGAAAAAAAUUAUAUAAUCACAGGGGCGCUUGGAUCAAAGUCUACAUUAAUCAAAGAGAGAAGAAGUAAGGGAUUGAGCAGAAAGACGUCACUGCUUACCCUAAACAAGCCUCUCUCUCCAUCCUUGUCCACUACGUCUACCAACAACGUAACCUUUUUCUUAACUUUAUACUAAUUUUAUACCAAACACACUUUCUUUUUUUUUUUUUUUUUUGAGCAACACCAAACACACUUUCUUUGUUCCGGCUCUAACUAAUUGAUUUUUUUCCAACUUUACAACAAAUCACUGACUGAGAUUCAGACAAUCACCGAGCACAAAAUCAGACAAGAUCAGAUCCUGCUGACUCAUCAUCAUCAUAAAAAUUAUUCAUCAAUAUCAUCACCACUGCAAUAAGAAACUAAAAGUACAAAUUAAAUAAUUAAACGUAGAGACAAACCACGUGUUUAAGAUGAAUGAUAUUCCGGAAAAGAGAAGAAAGCGUACGUAAAGAGCUCAGAGUUAGUAGUGAAGAAAACAUGGAGAAGAUAAUUCACAAAGAAGUCGAAAAAAGAGACAAGAAAUGGCUUCUUUUUACACGUCUCUUCGCUCUCUUCUCCCUCUCGAGUUCAUCCAGGACAUAGUUCCAAGAGAGAUGACCUUAUGUUAUUGUCUGGACAAGCUUUGGAAGUAGAAAUGCACAAGGUAGGAAUGAAUAUCGAAUUAUGUCCUGAUUCGUCCGGUUUUUUUUAUUGGAAGAAGUUCAGGACCGAAUUCCAUAAUCUGUUUGGGCCAUUGGAUAAGAGUCGGUUGUUAAAUCUUCCCCCGAAGCUGUUGAGACUCGACUUGGUAUCUCAACCGUUAGUGCAUAGUGCCUUUUCAGUAGAGGUAGCAACUCCGGAUCGGCGUAGAGGUCGUCUUUAGCGUUCUACAAACGCCGUUGUAAAGCGUGCUGCGAGUUCUCUGUGAACAUGGUCUUUAUGUUCUUGGCUGCAUCUCCUCCAAUGUGAAUGAUAUACUCAUUCACACUUUACAGGCUGAGGUCAGAUAUCUGGAUUUAAUUGACCUCGCAGACCUCAAAGAUACACUUAUGAUGCUUAGAGCAUCUUCAUGCCCACUCCAUAAUUUACUCCGUUUAUAGAGUAAAUAGAGUGAGAAAUGGAGUAGUGCAUAAAAAAUAAAUGCAUUACUCUAUAAAUGGAGUAAUGCCUUUAUUUUUUGUUCAUUACUUCAUUUUCCACUCCAUUUACUCUAUAAAUGGAAUAAAUUAUGGAGUGGGGAUGGAGAUGCUCUUAUCCUAAUGUACUAAUUGUUGAAAAAAGAUUUAUUGGGAUCAGCAUAUUUCAGUAUUUUAAUCUAGGAUUUUUCGAGAAAGAGUCUGAGACGGAUCAGAAUGUACUUCAAAAUUUAAGAUAUUAGUUAACAAAAAAUCUAAGUUAUUACAAGCCUUUUCAAGACUAAAUCAUAAAGACAUCCCGGCAUAGUAUUUCUGUUUUGGGGGGUAAAUAUCUGAGAUCAAUUAAAAAUUUAAGAGGACAUAUUUUUAAAAAAUUGUCAUGUUUUUAUAGACCCAAUCUCUAUUAUUAAAAUAGAAAUACAUUUAGAAAAUAUCCCUAAAUUUUGUAGUUAUUUACAUUC
This is a long non-coding RNA of Raphanus sativus (radish), 1652 nucleotides long. RefSeq lists it as uncharacterized. The transcript is spliced from 3 exons. The record is from RefSeq and is a predicted model, not a curated record. NCBI's taxonomy places the organism in Eukaryota, Viridiplantae, Streptophyta, Magnoliopsida, Brassicales, Brassicaceae.